Molecule: ribosomal RNA, 301 nt
Filed under: uncultured bacterium
Lineage: Bacteria
Description: partial 16S ribosomal RNA
Rfam family: Bacterial small subunit ribosomal RNA
Source: RNAcentral
CAGCCGCCGCGGUAAUACGUAGGGUGCAAGCGUUAAUCGGGAUUACUGGGCGUAAGGCGUGCGCAGGCGGCUAUGCAAGACAGAUGUGAAAUCCCCGGGCUCAACCUGGGAACUGCAUUUGUGACUGCAUGGCUAGAGUACGGUAGAGGGGGAUGGAAUUCCGCGUGUAGCAGUGAAAUGCGUAGAUAUGCGGAGGAACACCGAUGGCGAAGGCAAUCCCCUGGACCUGUACUGACGCUCAUGCACGAAAGCUAGGGGAGCAAACAGGAUUAGAUACCCGCGUAGUCCCUGUCUCUUAUAC